This 296-nucleotide signal recognition particle RNA is filed under the name Zalophus californianus (California sea lion). RNAcentral's name for it is "Metazoan signal recognition particle RNA (ENSZCAG00015009394.1)". It matches the Rfam family "Metazoan signal recognition particle RNA". From Rfam's summary of the family: The signal recognition particle (SRP) is a universally conserved ribonucleoprotein. It is involved in the co-translational targeting of proteins to membranes. The eukaryotic SRP consists of a 300-nucleotide 7S RNA and six proteins: SRPs 72, 68, 54, 19, 14, and 9. Lineage: Eukaryota; Metazoa; Chordata; Mammalia; Carnivora; Otariidae. The record is from RNAcentral.
GCCGGGCGCAGUGGCGCGCACCUGUAGUCCCAGCUACUCGGGAGGCUGAGGCAGGAGGAUCGCUUGAGCCCAGGAGUUCUGGGCUGUAGUGCACUAUGCCAAACGGGUGUCCGCACUAAGUUCGGCAUCAAUAUGGUGACCUCUCGGGAGCGGGGGACCACCAGGUUGCCUAAGGAGGGGUGAACCGGCCCAGGUUGGAAACGGAGCAGGUCAGAAGUCCUAGCCACAGCAAUCAGACAACAAAAAGAAAUCAAAGGCAUCCAAAUCGGCAAAGAGGAAGUCAAACUCUCACUCUU